Long non-coding RNA from Sander lucioperca (pikeperch), 231 nucleotides. RefSeq lists it as uncharacterized. The transcript is spliced from 3 exons. Lineage: Eukaryota; Metazoa; Chordata; Actinopteri; Perciformes; Percidae. The record is from RefSeq and is a predicted model, not a curated record.
GUCCCAAGGCUAUCAGACGACUUACAACUUGCCAGACCUGAACCAGGUGAUCAACUUACAAGAGGAGAAAAGUUGACAUUUAAUUGCCCCCCGGCCUGCAGACUAAGCGUGAAAGCAGUGGAUGACUGUUUAGCAGGCGGUCAAUGGAGUGACUCCUUUCCAACAUGUGGAGGUCACCUGCAAAGUUUGUCAUUCCUUCACCUCAGUUGCGGCUGAAGGGCUCAACCAAUC